AGAACUUCGUGAGGAAUAUGAAAGCCUGAGAAAGCUGAGAGAGGAAAAGUUACAAGAGGAGAAAACCUCUGAAGAUCAAAUCCACAAGCUGUUAUUGGAGGAUACGGAAACAGGGAAACGGAAAAUGGAUGACCAGAAAAAGAGAGAUGAGCCAUUAGUACUGAAGACAGAUCUGGAACAUUGUCCUGCGCGCCUCUCAGAUUCAGAGAACGAAGAACCUUCCCGAGGCAAGAUGACACAGACCCAUCGCUCGGCGUUUGUUUCUAAGAACAACUCCUACUCCUUAGCUUUCCUGGCAGGGAACCUAAAUUCCAAGGUGGAAAGGAGUCAGAGCUGCAGUGACACUG
Neomonachus schauinslandi (Hawaiian monk seal) is the source of this 347-nucleotide RNA transcript. RefSeq lists it as uncharacterized. The record is from RefSeq and is a predicted model, not a curated record. NCBI's taxonomy places the organism in Eukaryota, Metazoa, Chordata, Mammalia, Carnivora, Phocidae. The transcript has 4 exons.